Molecule: ribosomal RNA, 409 nt
Filed under: uncultured Lachnospiraceae bacterium
Lineage: Bacteria; Bacillati; Bacillota; Clostridia; Lachnospirales; Lachnospiraceae
Description: bacterial SSU rRNA
Rfam family: Bacterial small subunit ribosomal RNA
Source: RNAcentral
GGGUGAAGAAGUAUUUCGGUAUGUAAAGCUCUAUCAGCUGGGAAUAAAAAAAUGAAGGUACCAGAGUAAGAAGUACCGGCUAAAUACGUGCCAGCAGCCGCGGUAAUACGUAUGGUGCAAGCGUUAUCCGGAUUUACUGGGUGUAAAGGGAGCGCAGGUGGCGCGGCAAGUCAGAAGUGAAAGCCCGGGGCUUAACCCCGGUAUUGCUUUUGAAACUACUGUGCUAGAGUGCAGGAGGGGUAAGCGGAAUUCCUAGUGUAGCGGUGAAAUGCGUAGAUAUUAGGAAGAACACCGGUGGCGAAGGCGGCUUACUGGACUGUAACUGACACUGAGGCUCGAAAGCGUGGGUAGCAAACAGGAUUAGAUACCCUGGUAGUCCACGCUGUAAACGAUGAAUACUAGGUGUUGG